GUGGACUUCGUGGGAGUGAGAAUGCAGACAUGAGUAGCGAGAGACGGGUGAGGAUCCCGUCCGCUGGAUGACCAAGGGUUCCGGGGCCACGUUCGUCGUCCCCGGGUGAGUCGGGUCCUAAGGCGAGGCCGACAGGCGUAGUCGAAUGGAUGAACGGGUGGAUAUUCCCGUACCGACCAUGGACCGGCAAAACCGAGACGGUGAGUACUAACCUCCGCCUCGUGGUGGUUCCUUCCUUCGGGUUGGUAUCGCCGCGUGGUGUUGGGAGCGUAGCCGCAGUAGGUCAGCGCAGGGGUGACACGGAAUGGGAGCCGGCCGCGGAGGUGGUUUUCCGUGGUCAAGCACGCAGCCAGUCAUGUAGGCAAAUCCGCAUGGCGUGCAUGGCGAGGUGUGAUGAUGGGAGCCGUUAUGGUUCGAUAUCCGGUUGUCCAGGCCGUCGAGAAAAGCCUCGGCGUGAGGGCCAUGGCCGCCCGUACCCCAAACCGACACUGGUGGUCAGGUAGAGAAUACCAAGGCGAUCGAGCGAAUCCUGGUCAAGGAACUCGGCAAAUCACUCCCGUGCCUUCGGUAUAAGGGAGACCCACUGGGGUGAAGGACCUUGCGUCCGGAGCUUUGGUGGGUGGCACAGACCAGGGGGUAGCGACUGUUUACCAAAAACACAGGUGCAUGCGAAGGCGAAAGCCGCUGUAUAUGCACUGACGCCUGCCCGGUGCCGGAAGGUUAAGAGGAUCCGUCAAUCCCUUCGGGGACGAAGCGGUGAAUUCAAGCCCCGGUAAACGGCGGUGGUAACUAUAACCAUCCUAAGGUAGCGAAAUUCCUUGUCGGGUAAGUUCCGACCUGCACGAAUGGCGUAACGACUUCCCCACUGUCUCGACCAGGAGCUCGGCGAAAUUGCAGUACGAGUAAAGAUGCUCGUUAAGCGCAGAAGGACGAAAAGACCCCGGGACCUUUACUAUACCUUGGUAUUGGCGUUAGGCGCGGAUUGUGUAGCAUAGGCGGGAGGCUUCGAAGCGGGUGCGCCAGCAUUCGUGGAGCCGCAAGGUGAAAUACCGCUCUGUUCUCGUUUGACGUCUAACCUCGACAAGUCAUCCUUGUCAGGGACAGUGCCUGGCGGGUAGUUCAACUGGGGCGGUUGCCUCCCAAAGAGUAACGGAGGCGCUCAAAGGUCCGCUCAGCCCGGUUGGCAAUCGGGUGUCGAGUGUAAUCGCACAAGCGGGCUUGACUGCGAGGACGACGGUCCGAGCAGGGACGAAAGUCGGAGAUAGUGAUCCGGUGCCGGCGCACGGGCGCGGCAUCGCUCAACGGAUAAAAGGUACCCCGGGGAUAACAGGCUGAUCAUUCCCAAGAGUCCAUAUCGACGGGAUGGUUUGGCACCUCGAUGUCGGCUCGUCGCAUCCUGGGGCUGGAGCAGGUCCCAAGGGUUCGGCUGUUCGCCGAUUAAAGCGGCACGCGAGCUGGGUUCAGAACGUCGUGAGACAGUUUGGUCUCUAUCCUCUGCGCUCGUUGGAAUCCUGAGGAGGCCUGCCCAUAGUACGAGAGGACCUGGGUGGACGAACCUCUGGUAUGCCGGUUGUCGCGCCAGCGGCACGGCCGGUUGGCUACGUUCGGGAGGGAUAACCGCUGAAAGCAUCUAAGCGGGAAGCCUGCUCCAAGAUUAGGAUUCCGUACGGUCUUGAACUGUUGUAGCCCGCAUGUUGAACACGUGUUUGAUAGGCCGGAGGUGGAAGCCCCGUGAGGGGUGGAGCCGACCGGUACUAACGGGCGACGGCGACAUAAC
RNAcentral lists this ribosomal RNA (1777 nucleotides) under Bifidobacterium adolescentis. RNAcentral describes it as "bacterial LSU rRNA". It matches the Rfam family "Bacterial large subunit ribosomal RNA", at positions 1273 to 2925 of the family's 2925-position model. The record is from RNAcentral. Lineage: Bacteria; Bacillati; Actinomycetota; Actinomycetes; Bifidobacteriales; Bifidobacteriaceae.